This is a long non-coding RNA of Rana temporaria (common frog), 319 nucleotides long. RefSeq lists it as uncharacterized. NCBI's taxonomy places the organism in Eukaryota, Metazoa, Chordata, Amphibia, Anura, Ranidae. The transcript has 3 exons. The record is from RefSeq and is a predicted model, not a curated record.
UACAACGGCUCAAUCAGGACAUCCGUGUGCGGUCACGUGACCCGGAAGCACGUGGAGGGAGCGGGCUAGUGAGAAGAGCCGAGUCCCCCAAUGACCGCUGAGUGUCCGUCUGAGCCCCGCCCACCGACCCACACCUACCGACCGGAUCGGCCGACCGAGUGUGGGGGAGGAGUUUCCACCGAGAGCCUCCAGAUCACCGCAGAGGGAAGAACACUGAGUGAGGACCCCCGGACUACGCCUCCUGCACCUCCCAGCCAGAUCGCACGGCGAAGAGAUGAGCGUCACCCCACACUGCACCCUCUAAACCCACACCCCACAG